This 253-nucleotide ribosomal RNA is filed under the name uncultured bacterium. RNAcentral describes it as "partial 16S ribosomal RNA". It matches the Rfam family "Bacterial small subunit ribosomal RNA", at positions 524 to 776 of the family's 1533-position model. The record is from RNAcentral.
UACGGAGGCCCCAAGCGUUUUUCGGAAUUACUGGGCGUAAAGCGAAUGUAGGUGGCGAAGUAAGUCAGAUGUGAAAGCCCUGGGCUUAACCCAGGAAGUGCAUUUGAUACUGCUUUGCUAGAGUGCGAUAGAGGGAAGUGGAAUUCCUGGUGUAGGGGUGAAAUCCGUAGAUAUCAGGAGGAAUACCAAUGGUGUAGACAGUUUCCUGGAUCGUUACUGACACUCAGAUUCGAAAGCGUGGGGAGCAAACAGG